AGUUGUUGCAGUUAAAAAGCUCGUAGUUGGAGUUCAGAGUGAGCUCAGCUGGUCGGCCUCAUGGGUCAGAACUGGUUGACUCUCUCUUGUUUGUGGAUCCCUCCGGAGUUAACUCUUCGGAUGUGGAGUCCACAUCGUUUACCUUGAAAAAAUUAGAGUGUUCAAAGCAGGCGUUUGCUUGAAUAUAUUAGCAUGGAAUAAUGGAAUAGGACGCUGGUUCUAUUUUGUUGGUUUUGAGAACCAGAGUAAUGAUUAAUAGGGACAGUUGGGGGCAUUCAUAUUUCAUUGUCAGAGGUGAAAUUCUUGGAUUUAUGAAAGAUGAACUUCUGCGAAAGCAUUUGCCAAGGAUGUUUUCAUUAAUCAAGAACGAAAGUUAGGGGAUCGAAGACGAUCAGAUACCGUCGUAGUCUUAACCAUAAACUAUGCCGACUAGGGAUUGGGCGUGGUUUGUUCAUUGACCCGCUCAGCACCUUACGAGAAAUCAAAGUCUUUGGGUUCCGGGGGGAGUAUGGUCGCAAGGCUGAAACUUAAAGGAAUUGACGGAGGGGCACCACCAGGAGUGGAGCCUGCGGCUUAAUUUGACUCAACACGGGAAAACUUACCAGGUCCAGACAUAGUAAGGAUUGACAGAUUGAGAGCUCUUUCUUGAUUCUAUGGGUGGUGGUGCAUGGCCGUUCUU
RNAcentral lists this ribosomal RNA (679 nucleotides) under uncultured eukaryote. RNAcentral's name for it is "SSU rRNA". It matches the Rfam family "Eukaryotic small subunit ribosomal RNA", at positions 608 to 1295 of the family's 1831-position model. The record is from RNAcentral.